CACGUGAUUCGCCGGAGACUGGUGUGCCGGACCCCGGCCACCGUGUCGGCUCCCGGCUGUCGCGAUACCGGACGUCCCCUGAAGAGCUGCCAUGUCUGGGAAUUCUGCCCCUUCCUCAGAACAGAACAACAACAACUAUGAAACCAAAACAAAUCUCCGAAUGUCAGAGAAGAAAUGUUCGUGGGCAUCCUACAUGACCAACUCCCCGACCCUCAUUGUUAUGAUUGGCUUACCAGCCCGGGGCAAAACCUACGUGUCCAAGAAACUCACACGCUACCUUAACUGGAUUGGGGUGCCCACCAAAGUGUUUAAUCUUGGGGUGUAUCGGCGUCAAGCGGUCAAGUCCUAUAAGUCCUAUGACUUCUUCCGGCAUGACAACGAGGAGGCCAUGAAGAUACGCAAACAGUGUGCUCUGGUGGCGCUGGAGGAUGUGAAGGCGUAUCUCACGGAGGACAGUGGGCAGAUUGCGGUGUUUGAUGCUACCAAUACCACUCGAGAGAGGAGAGCCUUGAUUUUGAACUUUGCUGAGGAGAAUUCCUUCAAGGUGUUCUUUGUGGAAUCCGUCUGCGAUGAUCCUGAUGUCAUUGCUGCCAACAUCCUGGAGGUAAAGGUGUCGAGCCCUGACUACCCUGAAAGGAACAGGGAGAAUGUGAUGGAGGACUUCCUAAAGAGAAUUGAGUGCUACAAAGUCACCUAUCAACCCCUUGACCCAGACAACUAUGACAAGGAUCUUUCUUUCAUCAAGGUGAUAAACGUCGGCCAGCGAUUUCUAGUGAACAAAGUCCAGGACUACAUCCAGAGCAAGAUCGUCUACUACCUCAUGAAUAUCCAUGUCCAUCCUCGCACCAUUUACCUUUGCCGGCACGGAGAGAGCGAGUUCAAUCUCUUGGGAAAGAUUGGGGGUGACUCAGGCCUCUCGGUGCGGGGAAAACAGUUUGCCCAGGCUCUAAGGAAGUUUCUGGAGGAACAGGAGAUAGCAGACCUCAAAGUGUGGACAAGUCAGCUGAAGAGGACUAUCCAGACCGCUGAAUCUCUGGGGGUGACCUAUGAGCAGUGGAAGAUUCUGAAUGAGAUUGAUGCUGGCGUGUGCGAGGAGAUGACUUAUGCGGAGAUUAAGGAGCAGUACCCAGACGAGUUUGCGCUUCGAGAUGAAGAGAAAUAUCUGUAUCGAUAUCCUGGAGGGGAGUCGUACCAGGACCUGGUGCAGCGGCUGGAGCCUGUCAUCAUGGAGCUGGAGCGUCAGGGCAAUGUCCUCGUCAUCUCCCACCAGGCUGUCAUGCGCUGCCUCCUGGCCUACUUCUUGGACAAGGGUGCAGAUGAGCUACCGUACCUGAGGUGCCCUCUCCAUACCAUCUUCAAACUUACUCCUGUGGCCUACGGUUGCAAAGUGGAAGCAAUUAAACUCAACGUGGAGGCUGUGAACACUCACCGUGACAAGCCAACUAACAACUUCCCCAAGAACCAAACCCCUGUAAGGAUGAGAAGGAACAGCUUUACACCUCUGUCCAGUUCGAAUACAGUAAGGCGUCCAAGAAAUUACAGUGUUGGGAGCCGGCCCCCCAAGCCCCUCAGCCCUCUCCGUGCCCUGGACAUGCAAGAAGGGGCCGACCAGCCGAAGACCCAAGUCAGCAUUCCGGUGGUGUAACCGUGUGUCUCCCUCCCGUCCUGGCCUCCUGCCCUUGUCACUAAUCACCAAGGAGUCAUUUAACUUCCAACUUCCGCCUCCCCCUACCCGCCCCAAGCCCCACACCAUGGAUCUUAGCAGAGAAUGUGAGGUCAUGUGUUUCCAGACCAACCUUAGCUAGUGUACGGUGUGAGACAUCGCCCCGCCCAGGGGCAAGCUGGCGAGUUGGGUGUUUUAGGACAGGUCCUCAGUUGGGGGGGGUCUGGGGGAGGAGGAAAAGGGGUCCACUCUCCCGAGGUGAUUGGCAGAGCUGGGGCUGAGGCUGAGCAUGCUGUGGUUCUUGUGCAUCCACAGUGUCUAAACUCACUAAUGUCCUUAUGUUGGUAAAGUGGGGGCAGGGUGGAGGGGGACACAGAAGCCCAUUUCCCUUCCACCUUUGUCUCUUCCAGGUGUGCUUUACUCACAGUCCUGACCUAACUGCUUUCUUCCCCCCUCUCAUGUCCCCUUUGGAUUGCCCAGUGUGAUGCAUGGCAUGGUUGUGUGUCUGUCUAGGAGGGAAGGGGCAGUGGGUGGGAGAGAAGUCUGGCCUCCAUUGAUGUUCUCUGCAGUGAACCUAGAUGGAUCUGGACGGGGGGAGCCUUUCUUUUCCCUUCUCCCUUCCUCUCAAGCCAGGUCCUACAAGGGUCAGCCCAGGCUACAGAACAUCCACAGAUGCUCUGGAGCCUGCAGGUAGACAUAGGAUGAGAGUUCUUGCCUCCUUUCAUGAGAAACAGUCCUAAAGUCUUCAGUACCCUGGGGGAAGCUGGCUUCCAGUCUGUGUGAAAUAUUUUGGUUUGUAUUUUUCAGACAUAGGUCUCUGGGCUGCAGAGGUGUGAGGUCUCUGGGCUGCAGAGGGAUAAGGUUUAGGAGAGUAGGCUGGCCUCUAGCUCUUACAGGGCUCUUGGAGGAGUGUCAUACAUUUUUUCCAGUGGCUCCUGGCUUCUUUGCCAACUACUGGAACUUUCCUGCCAAAGCCAGUGACCUCCGGGACUGUUCAGAAGGACAGAGUUAGAUUCAGGAGUCACCACUGAGGUUUGAAUUGCUCAAGGGAAAGGCAGAGAAGAGUUCACUAGAGCUGCUAGUGAACCAGUAAUUUUCAACACAUUCUAGUAAUUCUCAACACAUUCUAGUAAUUCUCAACACCUUCUCCUUUUUAAGUCAAAAAAUUUUUUGCGUGAGCAAUUUUUUUCCCCAGAUAAUUGGGAAAGCCUGGUGAUAAAUUAAAUCUCCCUCACUAGGGUAUUAAUUUAUAUCAUCUUGAUGUCCAGAGUAGUCUUAGAAUCCUGUGGGGUCUAGCUCUUGACUGUUUACACAUUUACUUGUGUCAUUUUAUUUUUUCUGCAAGGUUAAAUAGGAAAUGUUUAGAGUAGGGAUUCUUAGCCCCUUGGUGGCCCAAUAUAGCAUACCUCCCCCAAUUUUGUAUACAAAGUAUAUGAACAUACGUAUGUGCAUUUUUCUGAGAGGCAAGUCUAGACCCAUCAUGAGAUUUUUAAAAGAGAGAGAGGACUCCUCACCUUAAAGUUAUCAAUCUGUCUCUUAGAAGUGACCAGUGAGAGCGACUUAGCUAUUUGCCAGUGAUGUUUUUGUUUGGUAAUAGGAGACCUUUUGUUGUGCUUCUCAUCUAGGAGUCUUCAUUAGAAUCCCCUAUAGAACUUUUGAAAUACGCACUUGCCUGUGUCCACUCUAGGCUUAAUUCUGAGUCAGUCUCUGGGAUUAGGGUCUGGGCAUGCAUGUGUUUAAAUAGCUUCUCUGAUGAUUCUGAAUCAUACUCCAGGUUAGAACUCAAUUUUAUGUUGUUGGGUGGAGAAACAGUAGUUCCUUGGACCAAGCGUCAACCUGGGAAUUCUGAAUUCUUCAUGGUUUUGAAAGGACAGUUCCCUGGAGUUAGAUGUAUGAGCAGAUCACAGUAUUGAAUGAAGUUACCCCCUCUUUGUUACUUCAGGCAGCAACCUGUUCCGGCUUUAACACAUUGCAGGGUGAUGUGGAACAAAUCACUAUGUCAUAUAAAUGUCCUAUGAUAAUAGCUGAGAAUUUUAAGCACCCUGGAGAGAGGCACUGAGAUAAAACUUGUGGGAUGAUAAAGGUUAUCAUCACAGGCAGCUGGCUUGUGACCUUGAGUCCUUUUAUUCCUACAUCCUGAGUAGGACGUCACAGCCAAUUUCAAAGGCCACGUGCCUAGAUUCUGCUCUAAAUUGCCUUCCAGACAUAAGGUAGCUUCCUAUUCCUGUUUAGCCAUUAUAUAAUGUGUACCUAGUGUCCAUGUUUGUGGGGCUUUGGGUUGGGUGGAAUGGUGGUGGGAGAAGGAGACACCGAAGUAGCAGGAAGGUCCUUGCCCUGAAAAAAGGUAUUUUAGAGAAAGAGCAUAUAAUUUAUAAUAAAUGAACAUUUGUGAAAGAGCAGCACGUUGAGUCUGUAAAAUGUGGAUGUCGAAGUUGAGUAGAGAUUCCUUCAGACUUUUCUCUUGUCCUACAUGUAUGAGACUAAAAGGGUUGGGGGCUGGGAAUGUGCCCCCGAGUGAUGUGGUGUAGGAGGUGUGUGUGGCCCUUUUACAAGGUUGUCUUGUCUAGCUUUGCUUGGCUGGUGGCAUCUUUAGCCCAAAUGGGCAUUCAGUCUUUUCUCUUGCUGUGAGGUGAGGAUGAUUCAGAACUAAUGCAUGAGAAAGGAGCAUUUUGAUCCAAGAUUUGGCUUUGGGCUGUAUGUACUCCUAGCGAGAAGAGACUUCUCUAACAAAAUAGCAUCGUAUGACCUUGUUAUAAGCCCCUGCAUUAGACACAAGGCACUGGGAUGUUCAUUUGGGCUCUCAGCCUGCUGGUAUAUUGCCAUUCUCCCCAUGUGUCAGUUUGCUUCCCCAAGAAGAGGAGUGAGGUGGUCUUACUAUUCUCAGAUUGGACAUGAGAAAUUAGACCUUGACAACAGCAAGGAUUUCAGCAUUGUUUGGUUUUUAGAGCAAGAUCCCUCCAGAGAAGUUUCAGCAGAAAGAAGCCAGGAGAGCUUAGAAUAGAGGAGAGCUCUUAUUCUACAUUUUAGAGAAGUCCUGUCCCCUAUCUUUUCUUUCCUGUCCUCCUUUCCCCUUCUUAUUUGAGUGUGUGUCGGUAGUAUAUACACGUUACUCUGAUUACAUGUUUAUUACAAAUGCUAGUAAGAAAGGAUGAACUCCAGAGUACCUUUUGCUGAGGCUUUCAGCUGUGUUAUGGGAGA
This is a non-coding RNA of Kogia breviceps (pygmy sperm whale), 4861 nucleotides long. NCBI's taxonomy places the organism in Eukaryota, Metazoa, Chordata, Mammalia, Artiodactyla, Physeteridae. The record is from RefSeq and is a predicted model, not a curated record.